Molecule: ribosomal RNA, 253 nt
Filed under: uncultured bacterium
Lineage: Bacteria
Description: partial 16S ribosomal RNA
Rfam family: Bacterial small subunit ribosomal RNA
Source: RNAcentral
AACGUAGGACGCAAGCGUUAUCCGGAGUUACUGGGCGUAAAGCGCGGGCAGGCGGUCGGUCAAGUCUGAUGUGAAAUCUCUCCGCUCAACGGGGAGCAGCCAUUGGAAACUGGGCGACUGGAGUCUGACAGAGGUAGGCGGAAUUCCGGGUGGAGUGGUGAAAUGCGUAGAGAUCCGAAGGAACACCAGAGGCGAAGGCGGCCUACUGGGUCAGUACUGACGCUGAGCCGCGAAAGCCAGGGGAGCGAACGGG